UACGUAGGGUGCGAGCGUUUAAUCGGAAUUACUGGGCGUAAAGCGUGCGCAGGCGGCUUUGCAAGACAGAUGUGAAAUCCCCGGGCUUAACCUGGGAACUGCAUUUGUGGACUGCAUGGCUGGAGUGCGGCAGGAGGGGGAUGGAAUUCCGCGUGUAGCAGUGAAAUGCGUAGAUAUGCGGAGGAACACCGAUGGCGAAGGCAAUCCCCUGGGCCUGCACUGACGCUCAUGCACGAAAGCGUGGGGAGCAAACAGG
This 256-nucleotide ribosomal RNA is filed under the name uncultured bacterium. RNAcentral's name for it is "partial 16S ribosomal RNA". It matches the Rfam family "Bacterial small subunit ribosomal RNA", at positions 524 to 776 of the family's 1533-position model. The record is from RNAcentral.